This 67-nucleotide transfer RNA is filed under the name Marmota monax (woodchuck). Its description in RNAcentral is "tRNA.Ser". The record is from RNAcentral. Lineage: Eukaryota; Metazoa; Chordata; Mammalia; Rodentia; Sciuridae.
GGUUAUGGCUCAGUGGUGGAGCACUUGCCUAGAAUGUGUGAGGCACUGGGUUCAAUUCUCAGCACCA